AUCUAUAUAGUAUAAAGUAUAUAUGACUUCCAAUCAUAAGGCCUAUAAAUAAAGUAGUUUAGAUA
This 65-nucleotide transfer RNA is filed under the name Argyra pingwuensis. RNAcentral describes it as "tRNA-Gly". It matches the Rfam family "tRNA". Rfam says of the family: Transfer RNA (tRNA) molecules are approximately 80 nucleotides in length. Their secondary structure includes four short double-helical elements and three loops (D, anti-codon, and T loops). The record is from RNAcentral. Lineage: Eukaryota; Metazoa; Arthropoda; Insecta; Diptera; Dolichopodidae.